AUACGGAGGGGGUUAGCGUUGUUCGGAAUUACUGGGCGUAAAGCGCGCGUAGGCGGAUUGGUAAGUUAGAGGCGAAAUCCCGGGGCUCAACCCCGGAACUGCCUUUGAUACUGCCAGUCUUGAGUUCGAGAGAGGUGAGUGGAAUUCCGAGUGUAGAGGUGAAAUUCGUAGAUAUUCGGAGGAACACCAGUGGCGAAGGCGGCUCACUGGCUCGAUACUGACGCUGAGGUGCGAAAGCGUGGGGAGCAAACAGGAUUAGAUACCCUAGUAGUCC
RNAcentral lists this ribosomal RNA (274 nucleotides) under uncultured bacterium. Its description in RNAcentral is "partial 16S ribosomal RNA". It matches the Rfam family "Bacterial small subunit ribosomal RNA", at positions 523 to 796 of the family's 1533-position model. The record is from RNAcentral.